This 377-nucleotide ribosomal RNA is filed under the name uncultured prokaryote. RNAcentral's name for it is "bacterial SSU rRNA". It matches the Rfam family "Bacterial small subunit ribosomal RNA", at positions 521 to 896 of the family's 1533-position model. The record is from RNAcentral.
UAAUACGGGGGGGACAAGCGUUGUUCGGAUUUACUGGGCGUAAAGAGCGCGUAGGCGGAUCUUCAAGUUGGAUGUGAAAACUAUUGGCUCAACUGAUAGCCUGCAUCCAAUACUGUUGAUCUUGAGUACAGGAGAGGAGAGCGGAAUUCCAGGUGUAGCGGUGAAAUGCGUAGAUAUCUGGAAGAACACCGGUAGCGAAGGCGGCUCUCUGGACUGAUACUGACGCUGAGGCGCGAAGGCUUGGGUAGCAAACAGGAUUAGAUACCCUGGUAGUCCAAGCGGUAAACGAUGGGUACUAGGUGUCGGGGGUAUCGACCCCCUCGGUGCCGCAGCUAACGCAUUAAGUACCCCGCCUGGGGAGUACGAUCGCAAGAUUG